AAAAAAGGUAAGCUACUAAGAGCGAAUGGUGGAUGCCUUGACUGGUAAAGGCGAUGAAGGACGUACUAGACUGCGAUAAGCUACGGGGAGCUGUCAAGAAGCUUUGAUCCGUAGAUUUCCGAAUGGGGCAACCCAAUGUAUAGAGAUAUACAUUACCUAUAUAGGAGCAAACGAGGGGAAUUGAAACAUCUUAGUACCCUCAGGAAAAGAAAUCAAUAGAGAUUGCGUCAGUAGCGGCGAGCGAAAGCGCAAGAGGGCAAACCCAGUGCUUGCACUGGGGGUUGUAGGACUGCAAUGUGCAAGAGGUGAGUUUAGCAGAACAUUCUGGAAAGUAUAGCCAUAGAGGGUGAUAGUCCCGUAUGCGAAAAACAAACCUUAGCUAGCAGUAUCCUGAGUAGGGCGGGACACGAGAAAUCCUGUCUGAAGCUGGGUCGACCACGAUCCAACCCUAAAUACUAAUACCAGAUCGAUAGUGCACAAGUACCGUGAGGGAAAGGUGAAAAGAACUGAGGUGAUCAGAGUGAAAUAGAACCUGAAACCAUUUGCUUACAAUCAUUCAGAGCCCUAUGUAGCAAUACAGGGUGAUGGACUGCCUUUUGCAUAAUGAGCCUGCGAGUUGUGGUGUCUGGCAAGGUUAAGCAAACGCGAAGCCGUAGCGAAAGCGAGUCUGAAUAGGGCGCUUAGUCAGAUGCUGCAGACCCGAAACGAAGUGAUCUAUCCAUGAGCAAGUUGAAGCUAGUGUAAGAACUAGUGGAGGACUGAACCCAUAGGCGUUGAAAAGCCCCGGGAUGACUUGUGGAUAGGGGUGAAAGGCCAAUCAAACUUCGUGAUAGCUGGUUCUCUCCGAAAUAUAUUUAGGUAUAGCGUUGUGUCGUAAUAUAAGGGGGUAGAGCACUGAAUGGGCUAGGGCAUACACCAAUGUACCAAACCCUAUCAAACUCCGAAUACCUUAUAUGUAAUCACAGCAGUCAGGCGGCGAGUGAUAAAAUCCGUCGUCAAGAGGGAAACAACCCAGACUACCAGCUAAGGUCCCUAAAUCUUACUUAAGUGGAAAACGAUGUGAAGUUACUUAAACAACCAGGAGGUUGGCUUAGAAGCAGCCAUCCUUUAAAGAAAGCGUAAUAGCUCACUGGUCUAGUGAUUUUGCGCGGAAAAUAUAACGGGGCUAAAGUAAGUACCGAAGCUGUAGACUUGCGCACAACUUAGAUUAUUUAAGUUUAGAAUAUGAGAAACUAAGUUAUAUGUUUAGUUAUAUUUUUACUGAUUUUUAUAGAGUAAAGAUAGAAAUAAAACUUAGUAAAAUCAGUAAAAAUAUUCUUAGACUAAAGUUAAGUAGUUUAAGUUGUGUGCAAGUGGUAGGAGAGCGUUCUAUUUGCGUCGAAGGUAUACCGGUAAGGAGUGCUGGAGCGAAUAGAAGUGAGCAUGCAGGCAUGAGUAGCGAUAAUUAAUGUGAGAAUCAUUAACGCCGUAAACCCAAGGUUUCCUACGCGAUGCUCGUCAUCGUAGGGUUAGUCGGGUCCUAAGUCGAGUCCGAAAGGGGUAGACGAUGGCAAAUUGGUUAAUAUUCCAAUACCAACAUUAGUGUGCGAUGGAAGGACGCUUAGGGCUAAGGGGGCUAGCGGAUGGAAGUGCUAGUCUAAGGUCGUAGGAGGUUAUACAGGCAAAUCCGUAUAACAAUACUCCGAGAACUGAAAGGCUUUUUGAAGUCUUCGGAU
This 1715-nucleotide ribosomal RNA is filed under the name Campylobacter coli. RNAcentral's name for it is "partial 23S ribosomal RNA". It matches the Rfam family "Bacterial large subunit ribosomal RNA", at positions 1 to 1586 of the family's 2925-position model. The record is from RNAcentral. Lineage: Bacteria; Pseudomonadati; Campylobacterota; Epsilonproteobacteria; Campylobacterales; Campylobacteraceae.